RNAcentral lists this long non-coding RNA (201 nucleotides) under Mytilus galloprovincialis (Mediterranean mussel). Lineage: Eukaryota; Metazoa; Mollusca; Bivalvia; Mytilida; Mytilidae. The record is from RNAcentral.
ACGACUUUGGUACUACAACGUCUUUGAUUACCAAACAUGUCUUUGAUCGAAUGAUGAAAAAAAUGCAUAUAAAACUCAUUCUAUAUAUCGGGCGUGUCUGAUUACCACUAUGCAAUCUCUGCAUGGGAAUUGCCAAGCCUUUAAGAUUGAAAUUAAGAAUGAAAUAGGAAGAUUAAAAUUUAAAAAAACAUAUAAUCUAUG